GUCCAGCUGACGAGUCGCAAAUAGGAGGAAACGUGCGUCCUGGAU
Schistosoma rodhaini is the source of this 45-nucleotide non-coding RNA. Lineage: Eukaryota; Metazoa; Platyhelminthes; Trematoda; Strigeidida; Schistosomatidae. The record is from Rfam.